Molecule: ribosomal RNA, 293 nt
Filed under: uncultured Entrophosporaceae
Lineage: Eukaryota; Fungi; Glomeromycota; Glomeromycetes; Entrophosporales; Entrophosporaceae
Description: uncultured Claroideoglomeraceae partial small subunit ribosomal RNA
Rfam family: Eukaryotic small subunit ribosomal RNA
Source: RNAcentral
AGCAGCCGCGGUAAUUCCAGCUCCAAUAGCGUAUAUUAGUGUUGUUGCGGUUAAAAAGCUCGUAGUUGAAUUUCGGGAUUGGGAUACAUUGGUCGUGCCUUUAGGGGCAUGAAUCGGUGUGUGGUCAAUUCUCACCUUCUGGUGAAUCGGGAUGCUCUCGGGUGUUUCGAUGAACUAGGACCUUUACUUUGAAAAAAUUAGAGUGUUUAAAGCGGGCAUUUUUGCUUGAAUACAUUAGCAUGGAAUAAUAAAAUAGGACGAUGGUUCUAUUUUGUUGGUUUUAGAACCACGUA